This 519-nucleotide ribosomal RNA is filed under the name uncultured bacterium 85. Its description in RNAcentral is "bacterial SSU rRNA". It matches the Rfam family "Bacterial small subunit ribosomal RNA", at positions 376 to 910 of the family's 1533-position model. The record is from RNAcentral.
CGAAAGCUGACGGACAACGCCGCGUGAAUGAUGAAGGCCUUCGGGUUGUAAAAUUCUGUCUUCAGGGAAGAAAAAAAUGACGGUACCUGAGGAGGAAGCCCCGGCUAACUACGUGCCAGCAGCCGCGGUAAUACGUAGGGGGCAAGCGUUGUCCGGAAUUACUGGGCGUAAAGAGCGUGUAGGCGGAUAAUUAAGUCAGAUGUGAAAACUUGGGGCUCAACCGCAAGAGUGCAUCUGAUACUGGUAAUCUUGAGGGUAUGAGAGGAAAACGGUAUUCCUAGUGUAGCGGUGAAAUGCGUAGAUAUUAGGAGGAACACCAGUGGCGAAGGCGGUUUUCUGGCAUACAACUGACGCUGAGACGCGAAAGCGUGGGGAGCAAACAGGAUUAGAUACCCUGGUAGUCCACGCCGUAAACGAUGGGUACUAGGUGUAGGAGGUAUCGACCCCUUCUGUGCCGCAGUUAACACAUUAAGUACCCCGCCUGGGGAGUACGGCCGCAAGGUUGAAACUCAAAUGAAU